This 253-nucleotide ribosomal RNA is filed under the name uncultured Eubacteriales bacterium. Its description in RNAcentral is "uncultured Clostridiales bacterium partial 16S ribosomal RNA". It matches the Rfam family "Bacterial small subunit ribosomal RNA", at positions 524 to 776 of the family's 1533-position model. Lineage: Bacteria; Bacillati; Bacillota; Clostridia; Eubacteriales. The record is from RNAcentral.
UACGGAGGAUGCGAGCGUUAUCCGGAUUUACUGGGUGUAAAGGGAGCGUAGACGGUGAAGCAAGUCUGAAGUGAAAGGCGGGGGCUCAACCCCCGGACUGCUUUGGAAACUGUUUGACUGGAGUGCAGGAGAGGUAAGUGGAAUUCCUAGUGUAGCGGUGAAAUGCGUAGAUAUAUGGAAGAACACCAGUGGCGAAGGCGACUUACUGGACUGUAACUGACGCUGAGGCAUGAGAGCAUGGGGAGCAAACAGG